Molecule: ribosomal RNA, 253 nt
Filed under: uncultured bacterium
Lineage: Bacteria
Description: partial 16S ribosomal RNA
Rfam family: Bacterial small subunit ribosomal RNA
Source: RNAcentral
UACGUAGGUGGCAAGCGUUGUCCGGAUUUACUGGGCGUAAAGGGAGCGUAGGCGGAUAUUUAAGUGGGAUGUGAAAUACUCGGGCUCAACCUGAGUGCUGCAUUCCAAACUGGAUAUCUAGAGUGCAGGAGAGGAAAGUAGAAUUCCUAGUGUAGCGGUGAAAUGCGUAGAGAUUAGGAAGAAUACCAGUGGCGAAGGCGACUUUCUGGACUGUAACUGACACUGAGGCUCGAAGGUGCGGGGAUCAAACAGG